UCCAAAGCUGUAGCUGUGUAAGA
This 23-nucleotide non-coding RNA is filed under the name Cricetulus griseus (Chinese hamster). Lineage: Eukaryota; Metazoa; Chordata; Mammalia; Rodentia; Cricetidae. The record is from RNAcentral.